CUUGGCUAUGAUUUUACUGAUCUCUUUAGCUUUGAAAUUAAUCCUUACAAAUUAGAUCGAAAGAAAAGAAGAAUUCUACCUUUCUUAUAAACUUCAUGAUAUUUGGAGUUUUAAUGUCGGUAUAAUUCAUCAGAUCUGGGGUUGAGGUCAACAUGUACUUGAAGUUCAGGUGCUUUUCUUGGAUGAAAUGAAAAUUGGAUUCAUGUAAUAGGAGAAAGGUUUCCCAUUCCUUAACAACCAGUGCUUAAAUGAAUCUGCUUGGUUAGCAGUCUCUAAUGCAUGUAUUCAUAGUACAAUUGUUUGACUGAGACUAAAAUGAAAAUUAUGAG
Molecule: unclassified non-coding RNA, 329 nt
Filed under: Hevea brasiliensis (rubber tree)
Lineage: Eukaryota; Viridiplantae; Streptophyta; Magnoliopsida; Malpighiales; Euphorbiaceae
Source: RNAcentral